This 242-nucleotide long non-coding RNA is filed under the name Gossypium barbadense (sea-island cotton). RNAcentral describes it as "long non-coding RNA (GBAR_LNC009496)". The record is from RNAcentral. Lineage: Eukaryota; Viridiplantae; Streptophyta; Magnoliopsida; Malvales; Malvaceae.
AUCUCUUCAUCACUAGAGCUGGACAUUUCAAGUUCACAACACUACCCCUUUGCUCAGCUUCUACAUUAUCAUGCCCAACCUUUUAUUGUUCUCUCUAUGCCUAUCCUAUUUAAACUUUAAGGUGACCUUGUGGUUGCUCUUCUAAUUCCUAAAUGGAGCCAUGUUCUUAUAAAACUAACAUGUUCCAUUCUAAACUCAUUAUGCAAACGAAUCCCGAAAGCCUUUCCCUUUGCCACCUUAGG